CAUUUAACUUUAGCGGUGAUAUCAAAUAAAAAAAAAAUCGCAUAUCAGAAAACCUGCCAUUUUUCAUCGUCAUUUUCUCUCUCAUCGCGCAGCUCCUUUGGAGGCAAUUUCAUGGGUGACAAGUAUUCGACAUCCUUUUCCUUACACCUUCGUAGCUUCAAAUCUAUCAAUCCUCCAGUAUUUGGUCCUUGGAGGCGAUAACAUAUACGAUUCUUCUUCCUUUUCCUUACAACUUCGCGCAGGUCUUCGCACAGGUCGUUGCUAGGCUACAGAUCGAUCAAUCCUUCCGUACUUGGUUUUCAGCUCAAUCCUCUCUCUGUUAUGUAUUUGUGUGACCCGAAUCUGAAACCCUAGAGUUCUUCGCAACCACAGAUCGACGCUCUUUCAGAAUCAUAAACUAUUGUCAACCCAGUACUAUGUAAUCCAUAUAUGCUCUUGGAAGAACUGGCACUACAUCGAAGGACAUGGCAAUAAGUUGUGGGCAGUGGCACCAGUGGGAUUUAUAGGAAUUAUUCUCCAGUUUCUGCAACUCCAGGAAGCUAGUGAUCUCUAAGUUAAUCAAAUGGAGGCCUAUGCAAGUAUAAAGAAGUGUGUGUGCAUUUUAUGGAAUGAAUUUUAGUGAUCUUCAGUUGUGUGUACAUUUUAUGUUAGUAUAAUGAAGUGUGUGUGUACUCACAUACUAUUUUUAAGGAAAUUCUUGCUCUCUAUGUGCAAGUAUAUAUGUGAAUGGUGCAACAACAAUUUAUUAAGUUUGUGAUGUACAAAAAAAACUUGUGGUUUAGUGUGUUAUUUAUGAUUGAUUAAAAUCUUACAAAAUAUUUUCAAGUA
Cornus florida is the source of this 828-nucleotide long non-coding RNA. RefSeq lists it as uncharacterized. NCBI's taxonomy places the organism in Eukaryota, Viridiplantae, Streptophyta, Magnoliopsida, Cornales, Cornaceae. The transcript is spliced from 3 exons. The record is from RefSeq and is a predicted model, not a curated record.